CAGACGCCGUCGUUGUUAAUGUUCGUUGCCGUAGGUCUUUGAUCGACAGUCUUCUUUUUUUCCAUUUUUCUCGGUAUUUUAUUGGUGUGAAAAAUUUACGAUAAUUUCUGAAAAAUCCAAUUGAAAAUUAUAAAAAUGUGUUUUCUCAUAAGGCAAUUAACUUUACUUAGCCAUAAUAGCUAAAUUAAAUAAAUAAUUGCUAAAAAAAACAAGCAAAAAACGCGUUUAAACUUCGCGACAAACAAUCAAACGCAAUAGUAAAUUGAAAGACAGAGCCCCCAAAGAAAAAAUAAAAUAAAAAAAAAACGCAAAAACAACAUACAAAGAAAGACAGCAAGAAAAACAAAUAGUAAAAAAAUUGUAAAAAGAAAAAUUAAAUUUGUGUGUAUUUUUUUACAAAGAAAUUUUAUAACAGAAAGAAAAUAUACUACAAUAGUUAUUUAAUUAAAGAUUAGGUGGUCAAGAAUUCUUUAACAUCAAAUAAUUCCAAUUUACUAUAAUUGCUGUUUAAACACUUAAACAAAAUUCAUGGGCAUACAAAUGCAACUUGUAAAUAAUAUAUUUAUAAUCAAACAUCGUCAUCAGCAGAAGCAUCAGCAGCGGCAGAAACAACUGAAACAAGAACAAUUACAGCAACAGCCACAGGAACAAAAUAAAGAGCAACAAUUUAGAAAACGACAACAAAUAUUUGAUCCACUUUAAAAGAUUUAUUUCUUUCUUUGUUUGAGUCUCAGUCAACCAGUCGUCACUAAAGUCAACAUUGGAAAAAAAAAAGAAAUAAAACGCAGUCUCAGCAAUUUAUAAAAGCGCGUCAACAGCGUUUAAAUAAAUAAAUAAAAUAAUUCAUAAAUAAAAGGAAAAUCAAAUAAUAAAAAAAAAAAACAAACCACAAUAAUCAUUGAUAUAAGAAGAAAAUAACAACAACAGUAAAAUAAUAAAAUAAACGUGUGUAGAAGAGAAUAAGUAUACAAAUAAACUCAACAAUAAGUGUAUUUGUUACUUAUAACUUCUGCCAUCCAAAGAACACUUUAUCAAUUUCAAAAAAAGACAUUGCAAAACCUUUAUCAGUCUCCUUAAGGUUUUACCAACCAGUCCUGCUUCAUCCAAACACACAACAGUAGAAUGGCGCUAACAUCACAAUUAUCUCUAGUGGUCUCAUUCAUAGUUGGCGUCUGCAUUUUUAAAACACCUCUAGAAGUGGAUGGUCAUAUACUCGUCUAUCGACGCCUAACCAAUCAGGUUAUUUUAAUUGAAGAGUAUAAUGAUAUGCCAGCACAGUUUGGUCCUAGCUUACCGACAAAUGGUAUUAAGGUAUUUGCGAUACCAGCCGUACCACAUGAAGAGGCUUGUGAUAAGAUAAGUCCACCACCAAAAUCGUUUUAUCCCAGCAAUGCUAAAUUUGCCGCCAUCAUACAAAGUAAUCAAAGAGGCGGCGUUGAUUGUACAUUCGAAUUAAAGGUACGCAAUGCACAGGCAGCUCGUUUUGAUGCUGUUGUCAUCUAUAACAAUGAAAGUGAUGAUUUAGAACAUAUGUCAGCACAAAAUUCUAGCGGCAUUUUAAUACCUUCAGUUUUUGUGGGACGUACCACGGGUACAAAUUUAAAAACAUUCUAUACUCCUGAAAUUGUUUUAGUCAUUAAUGAUGAGCUGCCUUUUAAUAUAAAUACACAAUUAAUUUUACCAUUUUCCAUCUUAAUUGGUUUAUGUUUUUUGAUUAUGAUUUUUUAUAUGAUUUACAAAUGCAUAAGAGAAGAAAGACGUUUGAGACGUCAUCGUUUGCCCAAAAGAAUGUUAAAAAAGCUGCCGAUUAUAAAGUUUACGAAAAAUAGCGAUCUCGCUUAUGAUACCUGCGUUAUAUGUCUGGAUGAAUUUGCCGAGGGUGAUAAAUUACGUGUGCUGCCCUGUAAACAUCCUUAUCACAGUGAAUGUAUUGAUGUUUGGCUAACCGAAAAUAAACGUGAUUGUCCCAUUUGUAAGCGUAAGGUUUUUACGAAAGGCGAAACCCGAUCACAGCGGAAUCGACAGUCUUCAUUGGAUAGUAUAACAGAUACGGAUGAUGAUACCACACCACUGUUACAACAAUCCACUAAUACUUCUGUGAAUUCAACCGUUUCGCCUAUAAGUUCAAAUAGUGGUUCAACUAGAAGUCAUGGUACAUUUCGUCGUGGUGGUAACAAUAUCGAAGCUGGUGCUGGUGGAGACAUUACAUCAGAUGAUGAGAAUAUGCUUUCACCUGCCCGACGUGUAAAUCCCUUUGAUCGUUCACCCAAUUUACCGCCACAUUUGCAGGCUCAAUUGAAUAGUGAAUCGCGAAACAGUUCCAUAUGGUCUUGGCCGGUUUUAAGAUGGUUUAGACAACCCACAACUCUAAGUGUGGCCGCUCCACCCUAUUUAGAAGACACUCUACAUGAUGUUAUAGCUGAACAACAGGGUGGUCCUAUGGCCACAACAACUGCUAGUAAUGUAAAUAAUACUAUAAACUCUACAUCAACGUUAAGAGCUUCACACUCUUCGAAUAAUGUUUUAAAUCCGAAUUUAAGUGGUUCUUUUAAAGACGGCGGUGGCGACGAUGAUGACGAUGAUGAUCCACCACUACAGUGUAUAUAUGAACCCAUAGCAACAACCACAGCAAAUCGUACAAGUCCAUCAGGGUCUAAUACAUCAAAUGCGUCGUCGUCGUCUAAUCGUCGUCCACCUCGUCCCGAGGUGGCAAUGGAUGCAAAUCCAGAUUCUGUUUUUAUACAAACUCCUACACAGGGUGGCAUUGCAGUAGCUGCUCUGCCACCCAAUAAUAAUAAUAAUCAUAAUAAUGUUAAUACGGCGUCCAUGAAUAGCUAUUGGUAAUAUGACGCUUGAAAGGGAAAUGUCAUAAUUUUAGUUUUAUCGUUUUGGGGGAGUGUUUAAAGAGAUUUAUACAUGAAAUUAAACAUACAUAGAGAUAUACAGAUAUAGGAAUUGUGGGUGUUAUCUCUCAACAGUUUGUCCACCACAACAAAAAAUUUAUCUCCAAUUUAUUUUAAUUUUUUUUACCAUCAUAUACCAAAAAUCUAAACAAAUUUUAAUUGAAAAUCUUUAACAGCCAAUUUAGUUAAAAAAAAAAAUUUGCAAAAAUUGGCUUUUUAAAAUUUUUUUAAAUAAAAUUUGAGCAAAAAAUUCAUUAAGUACCUUUUUUUAUAUAAUGUAUAAAAUAAUUAAUUAAUUAACUAAACUAAUUUUUAAUUGUAAAUUCUAAGUCCUCUAUAUAAUGUAAUAAAUACGAUCAAGUGAAAGUUGGGGGGGGGGGGGGCAAAAAAAAACCCCCUCCUCUUAAAAGCGAAACAAAACAAAUAAAAAAAUCUGAAUUAUAUUUGUUAUAAAUUAAUAUUUUUAUGUUUUAUAAAAAAAACACAACAACCACAUCUAUAUACAACAUACUAUAUUUUAUUUAAAAAAACAAUUUGCAACAACCUAAAAUGUUUAAGAUAAUCCAAACUACCCUUUAAACAAAAGCAAAAAAACAAAAAAUAUUAAUUAAAUAAAAUGUAAAAUUUUUAGUCAUUUUAUUAAAAUUGUAAAAAAAAAUUA
Lucilia sericata (common green bottle fly) is the source of this 3564-nucleotide RNA transcript. It is a transcript of the gene named E3 ubiquitin-protein ligase RNF13, with no coding region annotated. The record is from RefSeq and is a predicted model, not a curated record. The transcript is spliced from 12 exons. NCBI's taxonomy places the organism in Eukaryota, Metazoa, Arthropoda, Insecta, Diptera, Calliphoridae.